AUAACGACUCUCGGCAACGGAUAUCUCGGCUCUCGCAUCGAUGAAGAACGUAGCGAAAUGCGAUACUUGGUGUGAAUUGCAGAAUCCCGUGAACCAUCGAGUCUUUGAACGCAAGUUGCGCCCGAAGCCAUUAGGCCAGGGCACGCCUGCCUGGGCGUCUCACA
RNAcentral lists this ribosomal RNA (164 nucleotides) under Palaquium rostratum. RNAcentral describes it as "5.8S ribosomal RNA". It matches the Rfam family "5.8S ribosomal RNA". Rfam says of the family: 5.8S ribosomal RNA (5.8S rRNA) is a component of the large subunit of the eukaryotic ribosome. It is transcribed by RNA polymerase I as part of the 45S precursor that also contains 18S and 28S rRNA. The record is from RNAcentral. Lineage: Eukaryota; Viridiplantae; Streptophyta; Magnoliopsida; Ericales; Sapotaceae.